This 86-nucleotide transfer RNA is filed under the name Halomonas sp. SUBG004. RNAcentral describes it as "tRNA-Leu". It matches the Rfam family "tRNA". From Rfam's summary of the family: Transfer RNA (tRNA) molecules are approximately 80 nucleotides in length. Lineage: Bacteria; Pseudomonadati; Pseudomonadota; Gammaproteobacteria; Oceanospirillales; Halomonadaceae. The record is from RNAcentral.
GCCGGUGUGGCGGAAUUGGUAGACGCAGCGGAUUCAAAAUCCGCCGCCUUUACGGGUGUGCCAGUUCGAGUCUGCCACCGGCACCA